GACGAACGCCGGCGGCACGCCUAACACAUGCAAGUCGAACGGUGAAGAGAAGCUUGCUUCUCGGAUCAGUGGCGGACGGGUGAGUAACAUGUGAGGAACCUGCCUUUCAGAGGGGGAUAACGUUUGGAAACGAACGCUAAUACCGCAUAACAUAUUCGGACGGCAUCGUCUGAAUAUCAAAGGAGCAAUUCGCUGAAAGAUGGCCUCGCACCUGAUUAGAUAGUUGGUGAGGUAACGGCUCACCAAGUCGACGAUCAGUAGCCGGACUGAGAGGAUGAACGGCCACAUUGGGACUGAGAUACGGCCCAGACUCCUACGGGAGGCAGCAGUGGGGAAUAUUGGGCAAUGGGCGAAAGCCUGACCCAGCAACGCCGCGUGAAGGAAGAAGGGCCCUUCGGGUUGUAAACUUCUUUAGUCAGGACGAAGGACGUGACGGUACCUGCAGAAAAGACAACGGCUAACUACGUAG
RNAcentral lists this ribosomal RNA (469 nucleotides) under uncultured bacterium. RNAcentral describes it as "bacterial SSU rRNA". It matches the Rfam family "Bacterial small subunit ribosomal RNA", at positions 28 to 508 of the family's 1533-position model. The record is from RNAcentral.